Molecule: non-coding RNA, 490 nt
Organism: Marmota flaviventris (yellow-bellied marmot)
Lineage: Eukaryota; Metazoa; Chordata; Mammalia; Rodentia; Sciuridae
Source: RefSeq, a predicted model, not a curated record
GGGAUGGCGCUCAAAGGCUGAUGGCCGAGUACAAGCAACUAACCCUGAAUCUUCCAGAAGGAAUUGUGACAGGCCCCAUGAAUGAAGAGAAUUUUUUUGAAUGGGAGGCGUUGAUCAUGGGCCACGAAGAUACCUGUUUUGAGUUUGGUGUUUUUCCUGCCAUCUUGAGUUUCCCACUUGACUACCCACUGAGUCAUCCCAGGAUGAGGUUCACCUGUGAGAUGUUCCAUCCCAACAUUUACCCAGAUGGCAGAGUCUGCAUCUCCAUCCUCCAUGCGCCAGGCAAUGACCCCAUGGGCUAUGAGAGCAGUGCUGAGAGGUGGAGCCCCGUGCAGAGUGUGGAGAAGAUCCUGCUGUCGUGGUGAACAUGCUGGCAGAGCCCAACGAUGAAAUUGGAGCUAAUGUGGAUGCUUCCAAGAUGUGGCGGGACCACUGGGAGCAGUUUUACAGGAUUGCCAGGCAGAUCGUGCAGAAGUCUCUGGGGAUCUGA